GGAGAGGUGCCAGAGCGGUCGAAUGGGCUCGCCUGGAAAGCGAGUGUGCCGCCAACGCGGUACCGAGGGUUCGAAUCCCUCCCUCUCCG
Molecule: transfer RNA, 89 nt
Filed under: bacterium
Lineage: Bacteria
Also listed under: 1 other name
Description: tRNA-Ser
Rfam family: tRNA
About the family: Transfer RNA (tRNA) molecules are approximately 80 nucleotides in length. Their secondary structure includes four short double-helical elements and three loops (D, anti-codon, and T loops). Further hydrogen bonds mediate the characteristic L-shaped molecular structure. tRNAs have two regions of fundamental functional importance: the anti-codon, which is responsible for specific mRNA codon recognition, and the 3' end, to which the tRNAs corresponding amino acid is attached (by aminoacyl-tRNA synthetases). tRNAs cope with the degeneracy of the genetic code in two manners: having more than one tRNA (with a specific anti-codon) for a particular amino acid; and 'wobble' base-pairing, i.e. permitting non-standard base-pairing at the 3rd anti-codon position.
Source: RNAcentral